UCCGGUGACGAUUGCGGAGAGGCCACACCUGUUCCCAUGCCGAACACAGUCGUUAAGCUCUCCAGCGCCGAUGGUAGUUGGAUGUACGUCCCGUGAGAGUAGGACGUCGCCGGGC
RNAcentral lists this ribosomal RNA (115 nucleotides) under Aliicoccus persicus. The record is from RNAcentral. Lineage: Bacteria; Bacillati; Bacillota; Bacilli; Caryophanales; Staphylococcaceae.